Molecule: ribosomal RNA, 468 nt
Filed under: uncultured bacterium
Lineage: Bacteria
Description: partial 16S ribosomal RNA
Rfam family: Bacterial small subunit ribosomal RNA
Source: RNAcentral
GACGAACGCUGGCGGCGUGCUUAACACAUGCAAGUCGAACGGAAAGGCCCUGCUUUUGUGGGGUGCUCGAGUGGCGAACGGGUGAGUAACACGUGAGUAACCUGCCCUUGACUUUGGGAUAACUUCAGGAAACUGGGGCUAAUACCGGAUAGGAGCUCCUGCUGCAUGGUGGGGGUUGGAAAGUUUCGGCGGUUGGGGAUGGACUCGCGGCUUAUCAGCUUGUUGGUGGGGUAGUGGCUUACCAAGGCUUUGACGGGUAGCCGGCCUGAGAGGGUGACCGGCCACCUUGGGACUGAGAUACGGCCCAGACUCCUACGGGAGGCAGCAGUGGGGAAUAUUGCACAAUGGGCCGAAGCCUGAUGCAGCAACGCCGCGUGCGGGAUGACGGCCUUCGGGUUGUAAACCGCUUUCGCCUGUGACGAAGCGUGAGUGACGGUAAUGGGUAAAGAAGCACCGGCUAACUACGUG